RNAcentral lists this ribosomal RNA (1089 nucleotides) under Bacillus amyloliquefaciens. RNAcentral's name for it is "bacterial SSU rRNA". It matches the Rfam family "Bacterial small subunit ribosomal RNA", at positions 91 to 1166 of the family's 1533-position model. Lineage: Bacteria; Bacillati; Bacillota; Bacilli; Caryophanales; Bacillaceae. The record is from RNAcentral.
GUUAGCGGCGGACGGGUGAGUAACACGUGGGUAACCUGCCUGUAAGACUGGGAUAACUCCGGGAAACCGGGGCUAAUACCGGAUGGUUGUCUGAACCGCAUGGUUCAGACAUAAAAGGUGGCUUCGGCUACCACUUACAGAUGGACCCGCGGCGCAUUAGCUAGUUGGUGAGGUAACGGCUCACCAAGGCGACGAUGCGUAGCCGACCUGAGAGGGUGAUCGGCCACACUGGGACUGAGACACGGCCCAGACUCCUACGGGAGGCAGCAGUAGGGAAUCUUCCGCAAUGGACGAAAGUCUGACGGAGCAACGCCGCGUGAGUGAUGAAGGUUUUCGGAUCGUAAAGCUCUGUUGUUAGGGAAGAACAAGUGCCGUUCAAAUAGGGCGGCACCUUGACGGUACCUAACCAGAAAGCCACGGCUAACUACGUGCCAGCAGCCGCGGUAAUACGUAGGUGGCAAGCGUUGUCCGGAAUUAUUGGGCGUAAAGGGCUCGCAGGCGGUUUCUUAAGUCUGAUGUGAAAGCCCCCGGCUCAACCGGGGAGGGUCAUUGGAAACUGGGGAACUUGAGUGCAGAAGAGGAGAGUGGAAUUCCACGUGUAGCGGUGAAAUGCGUAGAGAUGUGGAGGAACACCAGUGGCGAAGGCGACUCUCUGGUCUGUAACUGACGCUGAGGAGCGAAAGCGUGGGGAGCGAACAGGAUUAGAUACCCUGGUAGUCCACGCCGUAAACGAUGAGUGCUAAGUGUUAGGGGGUUUCCGCCCCUUAGUGCUGCAGCUAACGCAUUAAGCACUCCGCCUGGGGAGUACGGUCGCAAGACUGAAACUCAAAGGAAUUGACGGGGGCCCGCACAAGCGGUGGAGCAUGUGGUUUAAUUCGAAGCAACGCGAAGAACCUUACCAGGUCUUGACAUCCUCUGACAAUCCUAGAGAUAGGACGUCCCCUUCGGGGGCAGAGUGACAGGUGGUGCAUGGUUGUCGUCAGCUCGUGUCGUGAGAUGUUGGGUUAAGUCCCGCAACGAGCGCAACCCUUGAUCUUAGUUGCCAGCAUUCAGUUGGGCACUCUAAGGUGACUGCCGGUGACAAACCGG